Molecule: ribosomal RNA, 465 nt
Filed under: Vreelandella stevensii
Lineage: Bacteria; Pseudomonadati; Pseudomonadota; Gammaproteobacteria; Oceanospirillales; Halomonadaceae
Description: partial 16S ribosomal RNA
Rfam family: Bacterial small subunit ribosomal RNA
Source: RNAcentral
CCUACGGGUGGCAGCAGUGGGGAAUAUUGGACAAUGGGCGAAAGCCUGAUCCAGCCAUGCCGCGUGUGUGAAGAAGGCCUUCGGGUUGUAAAGCACUUUCAGUGGGGAAGAAAGCCUUGGGGCUAAUACCCUCGAGGAAGGACAUCACCCACAGAAGAAGCACCGGCUAACUCCGUGCCAGCAGCCGCGGGAAUACGGAGGGUGCGAGCGUUAAUCGGAAUUACUGGGCGUAAAGCGCGCGUAGGCGGUCUGAUAAGCCGGUUGUGAAAGCCCCGGGCUCAACCUGGGAACGGCAUCCGGAACUGUCAGGCUAGAGUGCAGGAGAGGAAGGUAGAAUUCCCGGUGUAGCGGUGAAAUGCGUAGAGAUCGGGAGGAAUACCAGUGGCGAAGGCGGCCUUCUGGACUGACACUGACGCUGAGGUGCGAAAGCGUGGGUAGCAAACAGGAUUAGAUACCCUAGUAGUC